RNAcentral lists this long non-coding RNA (1544 nucleotides) under Homo sapiens (human). Its description in RNAcentral is "HSALNT0200985". Lineage: Eukaryota; Metazoa; Chordata; Mammalia; Primates; Hominidae. The record is from RNAcentral.
CACCUAUUUCAUACAUUCACUGGUGACCCCCACGAAGAAUCACCUUAACAGUUCAAAAAAGUAUUUUUCUGAAAAAAAAAAAAAAAAAAAAAAAAAAAAAAAAACAAAAAAAACUAACACACAGAAAGAAUACAUAUUCAGAAAUAUUUAGAGAAAGACACAGAAAAUUAAAAUACAUUUAAAAAUACUGUUGCAGUUUUCACUUUCUACUCCUGAAACAGAAAUAAGCCAUUAUCAGUAAGUGCAUUUUUUUCAUGGAGAAAAUAUUUAUUAGAUUUCAAAUUAUCACAUAAUACAGAUAUUACACAAUUAGUCAUUCUAGAAAAAAAUAGUUUAUAUUAAUAUUCAUAAACACUGAAAAAUAUAGGACUUCAUUUUGUGACAUAAAAUAUAAAAAAACUCAAAGGUAAAUUCACCAAAAUAAAAGUUUAAAUAAACAAAUCAGUUCACAAUAAUAUACAAAAAGUUUCACUUUUAAAUAAAUAGCUUGUAGUGGCAUGAGGUGACUAGAAAUGCACUUACAUUUCCUUUUGCAUAUUUUAAGGAACAGAGCUAAAAUUCAAUCAAAGCAUGAGAUUAAGAGAUUAAAUCACUUUUCAUCUUCAAAGCUGAAACAAAAAGCUUAUAAUCUCACAGGCCACACAAAGCGGUUUCUACUGUGGUUCAAAGAGUUCAACUAACUUAAUUUCCAAGCAAAUAUCAUUUUUAGUUCCUUCAGUUCUUCCUAAAACGAUGGACAGUUGUUUUUUUUAAUUUAUAUGUGUUUGUAAACCAAUUGUCUUAUUAACAUUUACUAAAAACAAGUCGGGAGUAAAAGCUGUAAUCACUUAUGGGAAUUCAAAGCUCUCUGGGGAAAUUUCAGUUCAAAUUGAACCUUUAAACUUACUUUUAAAUACUAUACUUAACAAAAAUUUAUUUAUAAUUAAUGAGAAAAAAAUACAGAUAGCCAAGAAAGACUAAGUGCAGGUUAUGCUUUAGCAAAUGUGGCUUCUAAAACUUUUGAGAUUUCCUAAAACAUUUUAGCUGCUUCCAUAUUAAUAACUCUAGAAUGUCUAUUCUUAAAAUGUAUACCAAAUUUAACAAACUGGCAGCAUUAGGUGACUUUAAAAACAUUCUUUAAUAGCUUUUGACUGACCAGUUAAUAGAUACCAAAGAAAGAAACAGAAACAUUUUGAUAACUACUUCAAUCAAUUAAUUGACAGCUUGGAUAAAUAACUAUUUUGCAACACUUAUUCCUUCACACCUACAGGCUUAUUCUAAUACUAAGUGCUUCUGCUCUGUAAACUACUGUUUUGUGACAGUACCAAACUUUAGAAUGCCUUCAGUAUGAAAAAAAUACCUCAAGUUUAACAGGUAUGUAUUACUUUAGAAGACAGACCAAGCUACUUACAUCUCAAAAGAUAUUUCUUCUACUUCUCUAUUAGAAACUUUGUUGAUUUGACAAUUAUAAUAAGCCUCAAGACCAGCGAAGAUGAGCUAAAAGAGUAUAUCCUAAUAUUAAAAGCAGUUUUCGAAUAAUUAAGAAGUUCACCCUUUAUUUACUA